Long non-coding RNA from Oncorhynchus tshawytscha (Chinook salmon), 496 nucleotides. Lineage: Eukaryota; Metazoa; Chordata; Actinopteri; Salmoniformes; Salmonidae. The record is from Ensembl.
UAACGUUAGAGUUUACCUUAAAUUUGCUGUAGCGAAGUUAGUUUAGCUAGCUAGCUAUGUUUCUAAAAUGUCUUUAUUUCUGUGUCUUUACUUAAUUGCAGAGGUCAAGGCCAAUGAAUGGACAGCUUUGUAAAGAUAUGUUGAGUGAGUGGAACCUGUAUGGUCUCUUUGAUUCCAAAGUUUUGGGCGGAAGAUAUGGACCAGGAAACGCUCUUGCUUUUAGACGACUUGACUAUAGCCUGAAGUUAAAGAAGAACAUAAACGACAAGUCAAAUGUGAGAUGACCAAGCGGCUGAACAACAUCUGGCUGGAAAACUAGGUUGCGGUGUCCAUGAGGGAGACCGCGAUCCAGAGAAAUCUGCAAGGCAGUUAACCACCAACAACAACUGCUUCCUGGACGAAGGACUUUUAUUUUCUUCAUUACCAUACUGAUUUCAUGUAGAAAUAUAUACAUUUAUCUGUUAAAGACAUUGAAUACAUGUUUAGCAUAUUUACU